AGUUCGCCUGCCCCCUGUUCUGUCUGUGCUUUCUGGAUUGAGACCUGGACCUGGACCUGGACGCCCUGUUGGAUUCUCCCUUGGUAACCGCUGCCUGAGUUAAUCGGAUUUUCCCCUGACAAGACCUGGACCGGACCUGGACAAAGAGCCCUGGAUAACCCCCUCUCGGACGCCUUCGUAACAAGGAGUCAGAGUUCUGCCCUCAGCACGUCCAGGAGCGGCCAGUCGCAGAGUGCGAGCCGAACCAGGGACCGAGCCGCCAGCGUCAAAAUAAAGACUGAUAUUAUUUUUGUACUCACUUGUUUUCGGGUAUUUCUUGGGUCCUCCUAAAUUCAUCACA
Molecule: long non-coding RNA, 340 nt
Organism: Fundulus heteroclitus (mummichog)
Lineage: Eukaryota; Metazoa; Chordata; Actinopteri; Cyprinodontiformes; Fundulidae
Exons: 2
Source: RefSeq, a predicted model, not a curated record